Molecule: transfer RNA, 115 nt
Organism: Sugiyamaella lignohabitans
Lineage: Eukaryota; Fungi; Ascomycota; Dipodascomycetes; Dipodascales; Trichomonascaceae
Rfam family: tRNA
About the family: Transfer RNA (tRNA) molecules are approximately 80 nucleotides in length.
Source: Rfam
UCCUUCUUAGCUCAGUUGGUAGAGCGUUCGGCUUUUACAAGGAUUUAAGAGGACUUUACAGUCGGUUGAGAAUCAUGUGACCGAAAUGUCAGGGGUUCGACCCCCCUAGAAGGAG